GCGGGAGUAGCAUAGUAUGGUAAUGUCCUAGCCUUCCAAGCUAGUUAUGCGGGUUCGAUUCCCGUCUCCCGCU
Molecule: transfer RNA, 73 nt
Filed under: Endomicrobium sp.
Lineage: Bacteria; Pseudomonadati; Elusimicrobiota; Endomicrobiia; Endomicrobiales; Endomicrobiaceae
Description: tRNA-Gly
Rfam family: tRNA
About the family: Transfer RNA (tRNA) molecules are approximately 80 nucleotides in length. Their secondary structure includes four short double-helical elements and three loops (D, anti-codon, and T loops).
Source: RNAcentral